Molecule: ribosomal RNA, 466 nt
Filed under: uncultured bacterium
Lineage: Bacteria
Description: bacterial SSU rRNA
Rfam family: Bacterial small subunit ribosomal RNA
Source: RNAcentral
CCUANGGGGGGCAGCAGUCGGGAAUCUUGGUCAAUGGGGGAAACCCUGAACCAGCAACGCCGCGUGAGGGAUGAAGGCCCUCGGGUCGUAAACCUCUGUCGGGAGGGAAGAAAUCAUUCCGGACGAAUACUCUGGGAUGCUGACGGUACCUCCAAAGGAAGCGCCGGCUAACUCCGUGCCAGCAGCCGCGGUAAUACGGAGGGCGCGAGCGUUAUUCGGAAUCAUUGGGCGUAAAGCGCGUGUAGGCGGCUGGGUAAGUCGGGUGUGAAAGCCCGGGGCUCAACCCCGGAACUGCAUUCGAAACUACCUAGCUGGAGUCUCGGAGAGGAGGGCGGAAUUCCCGGUGUAGAGGUGAAAUUCGUAGAUAUCGGGAGGAACACCAGUGGCGAAGGCGGCCCUCUGGACGAUGACUGACGCUGAGACGCGAAAGCGUGGGUAGCAAACAGGAUUAGAUACCCCANUANUC